Acanthosepion pharaonis is the source of this 114-nucleotide non-coding RNA. Lineage: Eukaryota; Metazoa; Mollusca; Cephalopoda; Sepiida; Sepiidae. The record is from the annotation of a GenBank genome assembly.
UUACGGCCAUAUCUUAUUGAAACACCAGUUCUCGUACGAUCAUCGAAGUUAAGCAACGUUGAGUCUGGCCAGUAGCUAGAUGGGUGACCGCUUGGGAAUACCAGGUGCUGCAAA